RNAcentral lists this ribosomal RNA (679 nucleotides) under uncultured bacterium. RNAcentral's name for it is "bacterial SSU rRNA". It matches the Rfam family "Bacterial small subunit ribosomal RNA", at positions 64 to 754 of the family's 1533-position model. The record is from RNAcentral.
GAGGGGCAGCAUAACUUAGCCUGCUAAGUGGAUGGCGACCGGCGCACGGGUGAGUAACACGUAUCCACCUGCCGAUGACUCGGGGAUAGCCUUUCGAAAGAAAGAUUAAUACCCGAUGGCUCCGCAUGGUUAAAGAAUUUCGGUCAUCGAUGGGGAUGCGUUCCAUUAGGUUGUUGGCGGGGUAACGGCCCACCCAGCCUUCGAUGGAUAGGGGUUCUGAGAGGAAGGUCCCCCACAUUGGAACUGAGACACGGUCCAAACUCAAACGGGAGGCAGCAGUGAGGAAUAUUGGUCAAUGGACGAGAGUCUGAACCAGCCAAGUAGCGUGAGGGAUGACUGCCUAUGGGUUGUAAACUUCUUUUAUACGGGAAUAAGUGAGGCACGCGUGCCUUUUUGUAUGUACCGUAUGAAUAAGGAUCGGCUAACUCCGUGCCAGCAGCUGCGGUAAUACGGAGGAUCCGAGCGUUAUCCGGAUUUAUUGGGUUUAAAGGGAGCGUAGGCGGACGCUUAAGUCAGUUGUGAAAGUUUGCGGCUCAACCGUAAAAUUGCAGUUGAUACUGGGUGUCUUGAGUACAGUAGAGGCAGGCGGAAUUCGUGGUGUAGCGGUGAAAUGCUUAGAUAUCGCGAAGAACUCCGAUUGCGAAGGCAGCUUGCUGGACUGUAACUGACGCUGAUGCUC